This 379-nucleotide unclassified non-coding RNA is filed under the name uncultured Gemmatimonadaceae bacterium. Its description in RNAcentral is "contains 16S-23S intergenic spacer region". Lineage: Bacteria; Pseudomonadati; Gemmatimonadota; Gemmatimonadia; Gemmatimonadales; Gemmatimonadaceae. The record is from RNAcentral.
UCCGAGUUGACCCCGGCAGUCUCCUAUGAGUUCCCACCAUUACGUGCUGGCAACUAAUGACAAGGGUUGCGCUCGUUGCGGGACUUAACCCAACAUCUCACGACACGAGCUGACGACAGCCAUGCAGCACCUGUGCACGGACUCCGAAGAGGGGCCGAUGUUUCCACCGGCUUUCCCGUGCAUGUCAAGCCCAGGUAAGGUUCUUCGCGUUGCUUCGAAUUGAACCACAUGCUCCACCGCUUGUGCGGGCCCCCGUCAAUUCCUUUGAGUUUCAGCCUUGCGGCCGUACUCCCCAGGCGGGGUACUUAUUGCGUUAGCGCCGGUUCGGCGGGGGUCAAGACCCACCAAACCUAGUACCAUCGUUUACAGCGUGGACUAC